This 216-nucleotide long non-coding RNA is filed under the name Xyrichtys novacula (pearly razorfish). Lineage: Eukaryota; Metazoa; Chordata; Actinopteri; Labriformes; Labridae. The record is from RNAcentral.
CAGUGACUUCAAGGGAAGCCCUCACACUGGACAAAACUGGAGUCGUCAGUCAAGGUGCCUGUGUACCUUGACAGCAGUGACAACCAGGACCGUCUUUUUAAUUUUUUGUUUUCAGUGCUGCAGAGAACAAACACACAACUGUCCUUCAGUGAUCCCAUCAAGUUCAUCAUGGAUGUUCUUUUUCCAGAGGUAUUUCAAGCCCAGUUCUUUUGUUUU